Molecule: long non-coding RNA, 634 nt
Filed under: Physcomitrium patens
Lineage: Eukaryota; Viridiplantae; Streptophyta; Bryopsida; Funariales; Funariaceae
Description: long non-coding RNA (PPAT_LNC010985)
Source: RNAcentral
UCAUACCAAUCAAAUGCUCACUACACAGAUUAUAAAAUAAAAAAUAAAAUGGUAUGUUUUAUUUUUAUGAUGGAGCAACAUGUGUGUUAAUCAAUGAUACACUACAUCUGAGCAAGGAUGACAUUUGGUUGGAAAUCAAAGACUUGUCAACUGGUAAAAAUUGGGAGUCAUGAAUUUUGUUUAAAAACAGCUUCAUAAGUGAGUGUAAGAAAGAAAGAAGGAUUGCUUGUACUCAACCCUGGCUGGUCCUACUAUUUAAUAGAGCAGGGGGGGUGUCAAACAAGAACCCACAAUCCCAAGGUGCCAGCACCGCCUACUCCUGUCACCGUCCCUCCCACCUCCAUCUCAGCCUUCCCGCCGCCCAUAUCCCACGUGGCAGCGGGAAUUUGGCGCUCAUCCUGCUGGCAUUGUCCUUUGUGCAUAUCUGGAGCUGGCACGUCUCAUUGGGAACGCGGGAGAGCAGGGAACAGGGAACAGGAGGAGAACGGGCGGGGAGCAAACUAACGGAAGAAGAGGUGUUAGAAGGAAGGGGAAGGGGAAGGGAAGGGCAGGAGAAGGGGACGGGGUCGAGGAGGAGCUGGGAACUGUAACUGACGCUGCUGUCAUGCUUGUUGUGCGGUGAGGGUAUGGGGAA